UCAAUAUUAUAUGUAAUAUUAGUUAUACUUAUCAACAGAAAUACGACUCAAUAUUUUUUCAAUGCUAUAUAUUUUAAUAUUUUUAUUUUUUGUGACCCAGUGAUAUUUUUUUUACCUCUUAAAGUGGAUAGUGAGAAUUAAGCCUGCAAAAAAGUGAAGAAGGUGGGUAAGUUUUUUGCUUUAGAAAAAAAAUAAAUAAAUAAAUAAAAAUUAAAAUAAAAUAAAAAUUUGAAUUGAGAAUUUUAAUAGGAUGGCAGAAUAUAGACCAUAAGGGAUGUAACCUACAUAUUCAUGCGGCACACUCCCAUAUUCCCAUGAAACUCAAUCUUGUCAAAGAGAUGCUCGUAGUCCGUGUAGACUCCCAAGGUCCACGUGGCAUACCCCACACAAGUUGAGCUCGUGAACUAUCGUAUGUCUCGAUAACAACGCCUGAACAAGGGUGCUUGAAGUUUUCAUGAGCAUCAUGGAUCAGUUGUAGAGGGCCAUGGCUUACCAUUGCCAAACUCAUUGGCCUAGUCAAGGAGAUGGUGAAAUCACAUGACUGGAUCACACGGAGAGAAUAACACUGAUAAUCAAAUUAAUUAUUCUCACCUACUGCAGUUUUUAAAAUGAUGUGCUUUUAAUGCAACAGUGCUCUUCUCGAGUUAAAUGACCGAAGUAACCCUAUCAGACCUGAUCCAAUUGUGAGGUCUCGAUGGUUUCCCCCACAAUUGGAUCAACACUGUUCAAUGGUCUCCCUCACUGAACCAAGCUUCUUUCUUCGUUUCCCAGAAGUGUUCACACAGAUCCAAUUGCAAACAGAGUUCUUAAAGAUUCCUCACUGUGCUGGAUCAAAAUCAUUCAUUCGUUUCUUCGAGGAACAAGUAAGCUGCUAUUUAAGUUAAUUUUGUUCUCUAGGUGGUUUUAACUCAUUUGUAAAUAUGGAUUGCUCUUCUCAUACAAAUAAUUAGCUCAGAAAAUGGCAUUACAAUGUCAAAUAGAUAGUGCCUUUUUCUAAGUCAAUUGAGAGAUCACCACUAAUUUUAAAUAUUCUCCAUUCAUUUCCUAAUCGAUACCCUGCGUCUUAUUUGCUUGUUAUUCUUCACUGAUGCGCUUCAAAUUUUGGAUAAUUUUUAUCUGCAUUUAAAAUUUUGAUUAAUCUCAUUUUGUUCAUUUAUAUUAGGGAUAUUUCAGGAAAAUAAGGAUCACUCCAAUAAUUAUACAUGGUGAAAUGAUAGUUUUGAGUUAAGAAUGACUUAUUCAAGGAAACUUUGAAUUUACGAGAGUGUUUUAAUGUAUAAUUUAGAAAUGGUAAAAGAAAAUGAGAGUUUUAAGUAAAAAAAUGACCUUAUUCAAGGUUGCAUUGAAGUCAAGAGAGUGUUUUAAUUUGUAACGUUAGAAACUUUGAAUGAAAACCAGAGUUUUGACUUAAAAAUGACUUUAUUCAAGGUACCUUGGAAAUCACAAGAGUGUUUUAAUGUAUAAAGUUCGAAACUUUGAAUGGAAAUGAGAGUUUUGAGUAAAAAGUGACCUCCUUCUAGGUAUUUUUUAAGUCACAACUAUGAAGUUGUACAAAGUUACUAGUUAAGCUAAUCUGAAACUAAAUUAGUUGUUGCAUUAAACAAUAAAUUGCUGCCAAAACAAUUCAGAAACAUAAGAUACAAACAUUAAUUUCAUAAAAUUUACAAUAAGAAAUUUGAAUAAGAAACAAAAACAAGGACAGAGAAAAGAAUAUUAUACUACACAUACAUCAUACAUGAGUAGAAGACUUUUUUUUUUUAAAAGACAAAAGAAAAAAGGUGGAAGAAAAAGAAGAAGAAAAGAAAAAUGAGAAGACUUUGAAUGGAAGGACGAUUAGGAUUUGAUUGAAGAGGAGGAAUGCAAUUAUUUUUUUUUUUAUGUUGAAGAGAAUCAAAGAAAUGUGAAGAAGUUGUACACAAAACAAGGCAUGGAUUAUUAACUAGUGAGGGAGGGCAUUUUGUAAAAUUUCACAAAAUCACAUCUAUAAAAGUAAUAAAAAAUUAAUAAUAAUGUACAAAAGACAUUUACAAACUCUUCAUGCCAUAUCUACAUAAC
This is a long non-coding RNA of Cornus florida, 2055 nucleotides long. RefSeq lists it as uncharacterized. The transcript has 2 exons. Lineage: Eukaryota; Viridiplantae; Streptophyta; Magnoliopsida; Cornales; Cornaceae. The record is from RefSeq and is a predicted model, not a curated record.